Non-coding RNA from Bacteroidetes bacterium GWA2_40_15, 69 nucleotides. NCBI's taxonomy places the organism in Bacteria, Pseudomonadati, Bacteroidota. The record is from Rfam.
UUCAGGUGGAGACCAGAGACCACUUAAAAAACGGGGCGUAUCCGAAAAGCCUAAAGAGUAGGGAUUAUU